AGAAUCAACGCUGGCGGCGUGCCUAACACAUGCAAGUCGAACGCGAAAGGGGAGCAAUCCCUGAUUAGAGUGGCAAACGGGUGAGUAACACGUGGGUGACCUGCCUUCGAGUGGGGGAUAACCUUCCGAAAGGAGGGCUAAUACCGCAUGACAUACCGUGUUUGGAUACACGGAUAUCAAAGCCGGGGAUCGCAAGACCUGGCGCUUGAAGAGGGGCCCGCGUCCGAUUAGCUAGUUGGUGGGGUAACGGCUCACCAAGGCUCCGACCGGUA
Molecule: ribosomal RNA, 272 nt
Filed under: uncultured soil bacterium
Lineage: Bacteria
Description: partial 16S ribosomal RNA
Rfam family: Bacterial small subunit ribosomal RNA
Source: RNAcentral